CGAACGCUGGCGGCGUGCUUAACACAUGCAAGUCGAGCGAUGAAGUUUCUUCGGAAAUGGAUUAGCGGCGAACGGGUGAGGAACACGUGAAGAAUCUGCCCUCCACUUUGGGAUAACACCGGGAAACCGGUGCUAAUACUGAAUAUUGAAACAUAAGUGGCAUCACUGAGUUUUGAAAGAAUUUCGGUGGAGGAUGACUUCGCGGCCUAUCAGCUAGUUGGUGAGGUAAAGGCUCACCAAGGCGACGACGGGUAGCCGGCCUGAGAGGGCGACCGGCCACACUGGGGACUGAGACACGGCCCAGACUCCUACGGGAGGCAGCAGUAGGGAAUAUUGGGCAAUGGGCGCAAGCCUGACCCAGCGACGCCGCGUGAGGGAUGAAGGUCUUCGGAUUGUAAACCUCUUUCAGUAGGGAAGAAGCGAAAGUGACGGUACCUAAAGAGAAGCACCGGCUAACUAUGCGCCAGCAGCCGCUGUAAUCUGAUGGCGCGAGG
This 494-nucleotide ribosomal RNA is filed under the name uncultured bacterium. Its description in RNAcentral is "bacterial SSU rRNA". It matches the Rfam family "Bacterial small subunit ribosomal RNA", at positions 30 to 539 of the family's 1533-position model. The record is from RNAcentral.